RNAcentral lists this ribosomal RNA (481 nucleotides) under uncultured bacterium. RNAcentral describes it as "partial 16S ribosomal RNA". It matches the Rfam family "Bacterial small subunit ribosomal RNA", at positions 29 to 523 of the family's 1533-position model. The record is from RNAcentral.
ACGAACGCUGGCGGCGCGCCUAACACAUGCAAGUCGAACGAGUGAGAGGGAGCUUGCUCCCUCAAGCGAGUGGCGAACGGGUGAGUAACGCGUGAGGAACCUGCCUCAAAGAGGGGGACAACAGUUGGAAACGACUGCUAAUACCGCAUAAGCCCACGACCCGGCAUCGGGUUGAGGGAAAAGGAGCAAUCCGCUGUGAGAUGGCCUCGCGUCCGAUUAGCUAGUUGGUGAGGUAACGGCCCACCAAGGCGACGAUCGGUAGCCGGACUGAGAGGUUGAACGGCCACAUUGGGACUGAGACACGGCCCAGACUCCUACGGGAGGCAGCAGUGGGGAAUAUUGCACAAUGGGGGAAACCCUGAUGCAGCGACGCCGCGUGGAGGAAGAAGGUCUUCGGAUUGUAAACUCCUGUUGUUGAGGAAGAUAAUGACGGUACUCAACAAGGAAGUGACGGCUAACUACGUGCCAGCCGCCGCGGUAA